This is a transfer RNA of 74 nucleotides. It matches the Rfam family "tRNA". Rfam says of the family: Transfer RNA (tRNA) molecules are approximately 80 nucleotides in length. Their secondary structure includes four short double-helical elements and three loops (D, anti-codon, and T loops). Further hydrogen bonds mediate the characteristic L-shaped molecular structure. tRNAs have two regions of fundamental functional importance: the anti-codon, which is responsible for specific mRNA codon recognition, and the 3' end, to which the tRNAs corresponding amino acid is attached (by aminoacyl-tRNA synthetases). tRNAs cope with the degeneracy of the genetic code in two manners: having more than one tRNA (with a specific anti-codon) for a particular amino acid; and 'wobble' base-pairing, i.e. permitting non-standard base-pairing at the 3rd anti-codon position. The record is from Rfam.
GUGCCUGUAGCUCAAUUGGAUAGAGCAUCUGACUACGGAUCAGAAGGUUAGGGGUUCGAGUCCCUUCAGGCACG